AACGAACGCUGGCGGCGCGUCUUAAGCAUGCAAGUCGAGCGGCAAGGGCAGCAAUGCCCCUAGAGCGGCGGACUGGUGAGUAACGCGUGGGUGAUCUACCUUUGGGUUGGGGAUAGCCAUUAGAAAUAGUGGGUAAUACCGAAUACGGUCGCUGGGUUAAUGCCCGGCGAAGAAAGGAGCUACGGCUCCGCCUUAAGAUGAGCCCGCGUCCCAUUAGCUAGUUGGGGGUGUAACGGACCACCAAGGCGAUGAUGGGUAGCCGGCCUGAGAGGGUGAACGGCCACACUGGGACUGAGAUACGGCCCAGACUCCUACGGGUGGCAG
Molecule: ribosomal RNA, 324 nt
Filed under: uncultured Spirochaetota bacterium
Lineage: Bacteria; Pseudomonadati; Spirochaetota
Description: bacterial SSU rRNA
Rfam family: Bacterial small subunit ribosomal RNA
Source: RNAcentral